CAUAGAAGAAGAGUAAAUAAGGUCUUGGUUCCUACGAAACUAAAACCACACAAAAAGGGAAUUAUCGAAAAUCAUUAGACGGAGAAACUGAAAUGGAAAAAAGACUAUAGAUGCUACUUGUAUAACACUUGGUAUCAUCAUCAACUAAGUAGAAUUUGGGGUAAUAAGGACCAAUCUAUGUUGCGUCAGUGAUCAAUGAAAAGGAACUGAAAAACUCCUAUUUCAGUUGUGCAGUCGGCAUGUCAUAAGAUACUAUUCGUGACGACAUAGCUAGUAGCUGACGAGUUCGCUAGAGUUCAUCUAAUUAUUGAGAGUUGAAGUGGAAAAAAAUUAUAAUGAGCAAGAAGUUGGGGCAAGUAUUAUAGAAAAUUAGAUGUGGCUAUUAGACUCUAUGUGUUGACGCCACAGAUUGUAAUAAUGUUCAUACAUAUAUGUUCACACCUUUGUGCUAUGUCGUUAUUUAAGUCCUAGUCUUAUAACUGUUGCAUUGUAUAUGAUCACCUGGAGUCGCCUGAAACUCCAUAGCAUGUAACUGUGACCAUUGGAUGUUGUUGU
Long non-coding RNA from Nicotiana tabacum (common tobacco), 555 nucleotides. RefSeq lists it as uncharacterized. Lineage: Eukaryota; Viridiplantae; Streptophyta; Magnoliopsida; Solanales; Solanaceae. The record is from RefSeq and is a predicted model, not a curated record.